AUUGAACGCUGGCGGCAGGCCUAACACAUGCAAGUCGAGCGGAUGAAGGGAGCUUGCUCCUGGAUUCAGCGGCGGACGGGUGAGUAAUGCCUAGGAAUCUGCCUGGUAGUGGGGGAUAACGUCCGGAAACGGGCGCUAAUACCGCAUACGUCCUGAGGGAGAAAGUGGGGGAUCUUCGGACCUCACGCUAUCAGAUGAGCCUAGGUCGGAUUAGCUAGUUGGUGGGGUAAAGGCCUACCAAGGCGACGAUCCGUAACUGGUCUGAGAGGAUGAUCAGUCACACUGGAACUGAGACACGGUCCAGACUCCUACGGGAGGCAGCAGUGGGGAAUAUUGGGCAAUGGGCGAAAGCCUGAUCCAGCCAUGCCGCGUGUGUGAAGAAGGUCUUCGGAUUGUAAAGCACUUUAAGUUGGGAGGAAGGGCAGUAAGUUAAUACCUUGCUGUUUUGAUGUUACCAACAGAAUAAGCACCGGCUAACUUCGUG
This 484-nucleotide ribosomal RNA is filed under the name uncultured bacterium. RNAcentral's name for it is "partial 16S ribosomal RNA". It matches the Rfam family "Bacterial small subunit ribosomal RNA", at positions 30 to 507 of the family's 1533-position model. The record is from RNAcentral.